Molecule: ribosomal RNA, 1049 nt
Filed under: Salmonella enterica subsp. enterica serovar Indiana
Lineage: Bacteria; Pseudomonadati; Pseudomonadota; Gammaproteobacteria; Enterobacterales; Enterobacteriaceae
Description: partial 23S ribosomal RNA
Rfam family: Bacterial large subunit ribosomal RNA
Source: RNAcentral
GGGAGUGAAAAAGAACCUGAAACCGUGUACGUACAAGCAGUGGGAGCACCCUUCGGGGUGUGACUGCGUACCUUUUGUAUAAUGGGUCAGCGACUUAUAUUCUGUAGCAAGGUUAACCGAAUAGGGGAGCCGGAGGGAAACCGAGUCUUAAUUGGGCGUUAAGUUGCAGGGUAUAGACCCGAAACCCGGUGAUCUAGCCAUGGGCAGGUUGAAGGUUGGGUAACACUAACUGGAGGACCGAACCGACUAAUGUUGAAAAAUUAGCGGAUGACCUGUGGCUGGGGGUGAAAGGCCAAUCAAACCGGGAGAUAGCUGGUUCUCCCCGAAAGCUAUUUAGGUAGCGCCUCGUGAAUUCAUCUCCGGGGGUAGAGCACUGUUUCGGCUAGGGGGCCAUCCCGGCUUACCAACCCGAUGCAAACUGCGAAUACCGGAGAAUGUUAUCACGGGAGACACACGGCGGGUGCUAACGUCCGUCGUGAAGAGGGAAACAACCCAGACCGCCAGCUAAGGUCCCAAAGUCAUGGUUAAGUGGGAAACGAUGUGGGAAGGCCCAGACAGCCAGGAUGUUGGCUUAGAAGCAGCCAUCAUUUAAAGAAAGCGUAAUAGCUCACUGGUCGAGUCGGCCUGCGCGGAAGAUGUAACGGGGCUAAACCAUGCACCGAAGCUGCGGCAGCGAACGUAUCACCCAAGACAACUUUGCGGAGUUGACGAUUGACGGAGCGAAGCGACGUCAAAGCGUUCAUUAAAGUCGAGUUGGCUUAGGGAUACGUUCGUUGGGUAGGGGAGCGUUCUGUAAGCCUGUGAAGGUGUGCUGUGAGGCAUGCUGGAGGUAUCAGAAGUGCGAAUGCUGACAUAAGUAACGAUAAAGCGGGUGAAAAGCCCGCUCGCCGGAAGACCAAGGGUUCCUGUCCAACGUUAAUCGGGGCAGGGUGAGUCGACCCCUAAGGCGAGGCCGAAAGGCGUAGUCGAUGGGAAACGGGUUAAUAUUCCCGUACUUGGUGUUACUGCGAAGGGGGGACGGAGAAGGCUAUGUUGGCCGGGCGACGGUU